Molecule: long non-coding RNA, 607 nt
Organism: Sebastes umbrosus (honeycomb rockfish)
Lineage: Eukaryota; Metazoa; Chordata; Actinopteri; Perciformes; Sebastidae
Exons: 2
Source: RefSeq, a predicted model, not a curated record
CACAGAUGUGGGUUGCAGAUGUGGAGGGUGUCCUCAGGUCCAUGAGGAGACAACUGAAUGCUUCUCUGGAGAAAUAUCCUCGUUGUAACAGUGGAAACAGCCCAGGGUGUCGUCCUCCAUCCUCUUUGAACCACAGCAGGUCUCUCUGCAGUCAACCAGCUGAUCCAUAGAGGCGGCUUCAGAUGUCCUUCAACUAUUUGAAAACAGAACAAAUCACAUAUUUCAGACAGGCUUUAAACCAGCCCCUAUUGCUAGUUUCCAGUAUUUGUCUUUUAUUCCAGCAAAAAAAAAAGGAUGUCACCAAAGAUUAGGUGCCCACAGCGCUGUGUCUUUGUGUCAUGAGUAAUAAAAUUGCAACACAUAUUAUGUUUGAACCCAGUUUUUCUUGAGCGCUUCAAUCACUCAUGCAGUGAUCUCUUCUCUUAAGCUGUUGUUUGACAUUCAGGAGAGGAAAGUAAUUUCACACCCAAGCGUAUCAUUAAUCAACUGUCCCAUAAACAAUAAAAAGUAGUUUCUAACUUGAGGUUCUCCUGGAACGACUGAUAACUUUUUGUCAUUACUACUCUGUAACCAGACCAGAAAUAAACAAGUGUUUUCUGCGAUGUUG